This is a long non-coding RNA of Heterocephalus glaber (naked mole-rat), 1772 nucleotides long. NCBI's taxonomy places the organism in Eukaryota, Metazoa, Chordata, Mammalia, Rodentia, Bathyergidae. The record is from Ensembl.
CAGCAAUUGGCUAAGGGGCUGCGGCUUUCCGAACCCUCUCUCCCGCCCGUGACUAUGAAUGGACAUCGGCGUUGUCAGUCACCCGUACUGCGCCGCAACCAGGCCCUUGGCCGGUCUUUCUGUCUUUCUUUCGUCGCUGAUUCCUACCUCAUCCUGGGCAAGUUCAGGGUAGCACUUGGGAGCAGAGGAGCUUCGGCAAGGAAAGUCAGCCCGCAUGGCCCUAACGUGACCGUCGGUUAUGGGAGGGUUUUAGGCCUAGGAGGAGCGUGGAAAGCGCACAGAGGAACUAAGGCUUUGCUACCGUUGGUCCAGGCGGACUGUGAGCCUCCAGUUCAAAAGCUGGACAGAGUUGGCGGCAGCGAAAACCGAGGAAUCCCAGCUGCGUCCUUAUCUUCUUCUUCCCACCCCAGGUCAAAGGCGCGCUUCGCAGAGCCCCAGGGCACGCGGUGCUGCAUGGGCCACGGUCCACGGAGGUAGGAGAAGGCCUGGGGUGCCAACCGCAGGGAACUUGAUGGGGCUGGAAGGGGACAGGGAGUUCCGGAAGAGGCCAAGAGUCGAAGCCUCAGCCGGUUACUCCCACGCCCCUACCUCCACAGGCCGGUAGGGGUAAGUCACCCGGGCCCUCUAGUCCGACUCUCAGCGGGCCGACACGGGCGGGCAGAGGGACCAGGAUGCUGUGGCCCUACGCCUUGCGCUCUGAGGCAUCACCGUCGGCCAAGACCCUAGCGGCAGCGGUUCCUGUCCCUCUCUGCGACCGUCCUCACGGCUGUGGCCGACCGGCUGUCCUGUGCCUCGGCGUCCCCCGCCAGCGUUCCGGGCUGGGAGCGUGGCCCAGGGCAGAGACAGGGGAGGGGAGGUGGCGCGCGCGGAAGAGAGGAAGAUAAGGGAGAGAGGCGGCUGGGGAGCCAGGCUGGCAGGAGCUGACCUGCGCCCUCAGCCUGGCUGGCAACCGGCCCUCCAUAGCAACGGCCUGCCAGAGCCUGUGGGCGCGCGCGUUUGUGCGCGCGCGCGCGAAUGUGUGCGGUGAAGAUCUGAGCCUUCCCAGUCCCUGGGUAACAGAGGCUGAACAGGAUCGCACAAUCCCGGGUCGGGGACCGAGGAGUCCCCUUCAGGAGGGAGGCUCAGCUUUGCAGGGCAGAAAAAAAUAUAUCUUUUAAUUCAUGAAAACACUCUGGAAAAGUUUCCUGGCAGUCAUGACUCAGCUAUCUUGAAGAAUGAAUAAUGACGUUAGCUUUGUUAUUUUCUAAUGUUUUGGUCAGGAGGCCCUGGACUUCAUUUAAUAAUAAAUAUGAAUUUGUAUAAUUUUGAUAACAUUUCAGAAAAAUUUCAACACGAUACAAAACAUUUCUGAAACAUGUUGAUUGAAAUCAUUUAUAUAUGACAAAUGAGCACAUGAUUCACACAGAAGUUAGGGUUGCUUGACUAAUGAAUAAAAAAAUCUGGCAUUUAUAGAAUUUCCCAAGACUCACAAAAUGCCUAAACAAUAUAAGUAGUUUAAAAUGAUUUGCCGAUCCCUGCUAAUUCUUCUUUUUAAGUGUGCUUCACAUUUGUCAUGUGUAAAAACUAAUGUGCUGUGAUAAGAAUCUCAUUUUCAAUUUAGGGAACAAUGGACUGGUUGGUAGAGAUCACACAUUUCAGUGAUUAGAAUAAAUCUCCAGUGUUCUAAAUUAUCAAAGAAAACCUAUUUUUAAACAAAAUAGAGAAUGGCUGUUAUGGAAAAUACGAUUAUUAUAAAGCAAAAUACUUUUAGGAACUUAAAAUAUAUGGUAAGG